Molecule: long non-coding RNA, 298 nt
Filed under: Capsicum annuum
Lineage: Eukaryota; Viridiplantae; Streptophyta; Magnoliopsida; Solanales; Solanaceae
Description: long non-coding RNA (CANN_LNC015417)
Source: RNAcentral
CCAGGAAGACCACAAGUAAAAUAAGACUCAUGAGAAGAACGAGAACUCACAAAUCCGACUAAUCUGGCAUAGCCAGCACACCUAGCAUAGCCCAUAAAUGAACCUUUCAUAGACUGUUCACCGCCCUUAUUAGAGCGCUCACUAGAAAUAAACUGAUCCCCAUCAGCUAUCUGAAGAGCUGCCUGAACUGAUUAACUUUAAGGCUGAAAAGAUGGGCGUAGAGGAUGUCUAGCAUAAGAAAUACCACUCCUCAGUUGAGAACUACCACGGCUCCCACCAAAUCUACCCUGGAAUCUAG